ACACUCACACUCACCACUGAAUCUGUGCCGGACAUUUCUUGGGUAACAGUAAAGCUGGGCGACUCGGCUCUUCUCCCCUGUAAGUGGAAAUGCUCUGGUUUGAGCACAUGGACUGUGACUGAUAAACAGGCUCCUGUGGCUGGGUGUAAUCAGACAUCAUGCUGGUCAGAGGAGGGAUUCAUCAUUUCUCACGAUCAGUACCUGAAAGGGAUUCUCUCUCUCACCGUCACUACAGCUGAUUACAGUAGGCGUGGCUGGUACACGUGUCAGUGUGAUGGAAGAGAAAUCCGUACAGUGCGUCUCAGCAUUGAGACUUUCAUGUCAUCGGUUCAGCUAAAGACUGGUGAUCCUCUGUUAUUAGCUUUGUCAGUAACACAGCCAGUGGAGGUGACUUACAAAAGCAAUGAUUCAGCUGAUUCUUAUGGUGAAGAGAUCUGCACUGUGACUCAACACUCACUACAGUGUAAAGCUGAAUACACACACAGAGUGUCACUGAGUGCAGCAGAUUUCAUCCUGAAGAAAGUAAAGGUAUCUGAUGGAGGAGUUUAUCUCAUCAAGGACAGGUCGAAUAAUGAAGUCCUUCACAUUUAUACAGUAUAUGUGACAGAACAACAGCGCCCACUGUGGGUGAUUCUGUUAGUAACUGUGCCUGUGCUAAUUCUGCUUAAAAUGAUGAAGUCGUGCUGUCAGGGCAAUAAAUACUGAGCAGCUGAUCAGUCAUGCCGUUUGGAUUCAGUACGCUUCACUCAACAUUUCAUCCUGGGCAUCAAAAAACAGUGGACUAAGGUCCAAGUCAGAAGAUCUAAGAUCUGUUUGAGUCUCACUGGAUCGCUGAGACUGGGGAUCUACUGCAUCUACUGUUCACACCAAACAGGGAGCAGAAACUACAGACCUUUUUACUCCUCCUGUCAGGUCUGACACUUACAUCUAACAUCACCACAUUAUUCUUGAUCAUUCAUUAUACUGAUAUUGAUUAUUUAUUAUAUUGAUAUGAUAUUAUCUCUCACUCACUCACAUCAAAAU
Clarias gariepinus (North African catfish) is the source of this 1023-nucleotide long non-coding RNA. RefSeq lists it as uncharacterized. The record is from RefSeq and is a predicted model, not a curated record. The transcript is spliced from 4 exons. NCBI's taxonomy places the organism in Eukaryota, Metazoa, Chordata, Actinopteri, Siluriformes, Clariidae.